Molecule: unclassified non-coding RNA, 457 nt
Filed under: Hevea brasiliensis (rubber tree)
Lineage: Eukaryota; Viridiplantae; Streptophyta; Magnoliopsida; Malpighiales; Euphorbiaceae
Source: RNAcentral
CGGAGUUCACCGGAGGCGUUCCGAUAGAAUUCAACGGCAUAACCUCAAACACCUCCGGUUCAUCUACCAGUUCCGGCGCAUGCUCCGACAUUUUAGAUCUGGAAACCGUUACCAAAUCUGAGUACACCGGAGGCGUUUCGGCAGAAAUUAAGGACCGUGAUUGCUCGCCGGAUUGUUGUUGUUGUUCCUUACGAUUUGAUCGAGAAGUGGCGGCGAUGAUAAUGAUUAUACCGUUGAGUAAAGCGUAGAGAUACGGAGGCUUUAGCCAUGAAAUCAAACCGGACCAAAUCGUAGGAAAUUCAUAUAAAAUCAACGGAACAGAGGAUUUAAUAGCAAUGGCUGAAGAAACUGCUCCGAUUGAAAUUAACAGAAAUUUCACCGUUAACAUCAAAUUGCUCGUCGAUGAUUCCAUUUUCUCCGAUUUCGUUUGAUAUUUCUAAGCUUUUUUUUACAGAUG